RNAcentral lists this ribosomal RNA (497 nucleotides) under uncultured bacterium. RNAcentral's name for it is "partial 16S ribosomal RNA". It matches the Rfam family "Bacterial small subunit ribosomal RNA", at positions 28 to 507 of the family's 1533-position model. The record is from RNAcentral.
GAUGAACGCUGGCGGCGUGCCUAAUACAUGCAAGUCGAGCGAACGGACGAGAAGCUUGCUUCUCUGAUGUUAGCGGCGGACGGGUGAGUAACACGUGGAUAACCUACCUAUAAGACUGGGAUCACUUCGGGAAACCGGAGCUAAUACCGGAUAAUAUUUUGAACCGCAUGGUUCAAAAGUGAAAGACGGUCUUGCUGUCACUUAUAGAUGGAUCCGCGCUGCAUUAGCUAGUUGGUAAGGUAACGGCUUACCAAGGCAACGAUGCAUAGCCGACCUGAGAGGGUGAUCGGCGACACUGGAACUGAGACACGGUCCAGACUCCUACGGGAGGAAGCAGUAGGGAAUCUUCCGCAAUGGGCGAAAGCCUGACGGAGCAACGCCGCGUGAGUGAUGAAGGUCUUCGGAUCGUAAAACUCUGUUAUUAGGGAAGAACAUAUGUGUAAGUAACUGUGCACAUCUUGACGGUACCUAAUCAGAAAGCCACGGCUAACUACGUG